UACGGAGGGUGCAAGCGUUGUCCGGAUUUAUUGGGUUUAAAGGGUGCGUAGGCGGCCCGUUUAGUCAGCGGUGAAAUCCCAGGGCUCAACCCUGGAACUGCCGUUGAUACUGGCGGGCUUGAGUUCGGUCGAGGCGGGCGGAACUGGUGGUGUAGCGGUGAAAUGCAUAGAUACCACCAAGAACCCCGAUUGCGUAGGCAGCUCGCUAGGCCGAAACUGACGCUGAGGCACGAAAGCGUGGGGAGCGAACAGG
This 253-nucleotide ribosomal RNA is filed under the name uncultured bacterium. RNAcentral describes it as "partial 16S ribosomal RNA". It matches the Rfam family "Bacterial small subunit ribosomal RNA", at positions 524 to 776 of the family's 1533-position model. The record is from RNAcentral.